Molecule: ribosomal RNA, 253 nt
Filed under: uncultured bacterium
Lineage: Bacteria
Description: partial 16S ribosomal RNA
Rfam family: Bacterial small subunit ribosomal RNA
Source: RNAcentral
UGCAGAGGGUGCAAGCGUUGUCCGGAAUCACUGGGCGUAAAGGGCGCGUAGGUGGCCUGAUAAGUAGGAGGUGAAAUCCUGGGGCUUAACCUCAGGGCUGCCUUCUAGACUGUCCGGCUCGAGCACAGUAGAGGCAGGUGGAAUUCCCGGUGUAGCGGUGGAAUGCGUAGAGAUCGGGAAGAACACCAGUGGCGAAGGCGACUACCUGGCCUGUUCUUGACGCUGAGGCGCGAAAGCUAGGGGAGCAAACGGG